This 465-nucleotide ribosomal RNA is filed under the name uncultured bacterium. Its description in RNAcentral is "partial 16S ribosomal RNA". It matches the Rfam family "Bacterial small subunit ribosomal RNA", at positions 28 to 507 of the family's 1533-position model. The record is from RNAcentral.
GACGAACGCUGGCGGCGUGCUUAACACAUGCAAGUCGUACGGUAAGGCCCUUUCGGGGGUACACGAGUGGCGAACGGGUGAGUAACACGUGAGUAACCUGCCCACAACUUUGGGAUAACGCUAGGAAACUGGUGCUAAUACUGGAUAUGUGCUCCUGCUGCAUGGUGGGGGUUGGAAAGCUUCGGCGGUUGUGGAUGGACUCGCGGCCUAUCAGCUUGUUGGUGGGGUAGUGGCCUACCAAGGCGGCGACGGGUAGCCGGCCUGAGAGGGUGACCGGCCACAUUGGGACUGAGAUACGGCCCAGACUCCUACGGGAGGCAGCAGUGGGGAAUAUUGCACAAUGGGCGCAAGCCUGAUGCAGCAACGCCGCGUGCGGGAUGACGGCCUUCGGGUUGUAAACCGCUUUCAGCAGGGACGAAGCUUUUUGUGACGGUACCUGCAGAAGAAGCACCGGCUAACUACGUG